AGCAGUAGCCGCGGGAAUACGUAGGGGGCGAGCGUUGUCCGAAGUUACUGGGCGUAAAGCGCGCGUAGGCGGCUUCUUAAGUCUGAGGUGAAAGGUUCAACGCUUAACGUGAACAGUGCCUUGGAUACUGGGGAGCUUGAGUAUGGGAGAGGGCAGUGGAAUGGCUGGUGUAGCGGUGAAAUGCGUAGAUAUCAGUCGGAACACCCAUGGCGAAGGCAGCUGCCUGGCCUAAUACUGACGCUGAGGUGCGAAAGCGUGGGGAGCGAACGGGAUUAGAUACCCCUGUAGUCCCUGUCUCUUAUA
This 303-nucleotide ribosomal RNA is filed under the name uncultured bacterium. RNAcentral describes it as "partial 16S ribosomal RNA". It matches the Rfam family "Bacterial small subunit ribosomal RNA", at positions 507 to 808 of the family's 1533-position model. The record is from RNAcentral.